UACGUAGGGUGCAGGCGUUAAUCGGAAUUACUGGGCGUAAAGCGUGCGCAGGCGGUUUGUUAAGUCUUGGUUGAAAUCCCCGGGCUUAACCUGGGAACUGCGCUUGUAACUGGCAAGCUAGAGUGUGGCAGAGGGGGGUGGAAUUCCACGUGUAGCAGUGAAAUGCGUAGAGAUGUGGAGGAACACCGAUGGCGAAGGCAGCCCCCUGGGCUAACACUGACGCUCAUGCACGAAAGCGUGGGGAGCAAACAGG
This 253-nucleotide ribosomal RNA is filed under the name uncultured bacterium. RNAcentral's name for it is "partial 16S ribosomal RNA". It matches the Rfam family "Bacterial small subunit ribosomal RNA", at positions 524 to 776 of the family's 1533-position model. The record is from RNAcentral.